RNAcentral lists this ribosomal RNA (775 nucleotides) under uncultured Neocallimastigales. Its description in RNAcentral is "partial large subunit ribosomal RNA". It matches the Rfam family "Eukaryotic large subunit ribosomal RNA", at positions 24 to 644 of the family's 3401-position model. The record is from RNAcentral. Lineage: Eukaryota; Fungi; Neocallimastigomycota; Neocallimastigomycetes; Neocallimastigales.
AUCUCUGUAGAGUCUGCAUAUCAAUAAGCGGAGGAAAAGAAACUAACAAGGAUUCCCUUAGUAACGGCGAGUGAAGCGGGAAGAGCUCAAAUUUGAAAUCUUCAAGGUUCUACCUUGACGAAUUGUAGUUUAUAAGAAGUGUUUUCUGUUAGAUGAGUAGCAAAAGUUCCUUGGAAUAGGGACAUCAUAGAGGGUGAGAAUCCCGUAUUUGGUUAUUCAUUCUAGCUUUGUGAUACACUUUCAAAGAGUCGGAUUGUUUGGGAAUGCAGUCCAAAAUGGGUGGUAAAUUUCAUCUAAAGCUAAAUAUUGGCGAGAGACCGAUAGCGAACAAGUACCGUGAGGGAAAGAUGAAAAGAACUUUGAAAAGAGAGUUAAACAGUACGUGAAAUUGUCAAAAGGGAAGCGUUUGACACCAGUGUUGUUUUUCCGAAAAUCAAUUACGAAUGGCUUGAUUUUGUGUUGUAUUGACCUUAUCAGCUUUCUUCACUUUUUUCGAGUCUUUCUUAAUGCACUUUUCGGUUAACAAGUCAACAUCAAUUUCUUUUGUUGUAAAAGAGUAUUCGGAAGGUGGCUUUCUUUUCGGAGAAAGUGUUUAUAGCCCUAUACUUCUACAAUCGGAGAGAUUGAGGUCUGCAGCGUAGAUCCUUCGGGGUUAGAUACACUUGUGCUAAGUUGUAGCUUUUCAUAGACAACUUGUUGACUAUGUUUAGUCAUGUGGCUUACUCGCUUGUGCUAUUUUACCUACGCUUAGGAUGUUGACUGAUAUGUAGUCGUA